RNAcentral lists this ribosomal RNA (277 nucleotides) under uncultured eukaryote. RNAcentral describes it as "partial 18S ribosomal RNA". It matches the Rfam family "Eukaryotic small subunit ribosomal RNA", at positions 21 to 268 of the family's 1831-position model. The record is from RNAcentral.
UAGUUAUAUGCUUGUCUCAAAGAUUAAGCCAUGCAUGUCUAAGUAUAAACCAAUUCAUACGGUGAAACUGCGAAUGGCUCAUUAUAUCAGUUAUAGUUUAUUUGAUGAUGAACUCCACUUGGAUAACCGUGGUAAUUCUAGAGCUAAUACAUGCACGAUGAGCGGGGGAUCGUGCGAGCGCCGCGUUAGGUGUUAGCUGGUCCCCUACCGCUGUAUUUAUUAGGUAACCAACGGCGCGGUUCUGCCGCGUUCAGUUGAUUCAUGAUAACUUAACGAA